Molecule: ribosomal RNA, 486 nt
Filed under: Triticum aestivum (bread wheat)
Lineage: Eukaryota; Viridiplantae; Streptophyta; Magnoliopsida; Poales; Poaceae
Description: partial small subunit ribosomal RNA
Source: RNAcentral
AUGUUCUCGCAUGAAGACUUCCUCACAAAUCCUUUUUGGAAUGACUUCAACUCAUCACAUCAGAUGCAGAAUUUGUCCACGGAGGCUUCACCAUUCACACCCUUACUCCAAACAGAACCAAAUUUAAUUGUUCAUUCCCAACUUAACACUAAUGCGGUGGUGGAUGAUGGUUCACUCUUUAAGAUGGCCACGAGGGAUGUCUCCGAGAAGCAAUUGAAGAUACAAGAUGGAAGAUUAUCAAAUGCUGAUCCAUAUGGUGUACCUGCCCCUGCUUCUCCAGCCAUGCAAUCGUCACAUAUUCAAAGAGAAGAUAAGAUCCUUCUAGUUGGUCCAAAUGGCAUUUCUGAUAGUGCUAUUAUGCAUGAUUCGACAACCUCACGUAAAUACACAUGCAAGAUUUGCAAUGCCACAUUCAACACAUCUCAAGCGUAUGGUGGUCACAUGAGUUCGCAUAGCAAAGCAAGGAUGAAAAGCCUACAAAGUUGA